UCUGACUGUCUUAUUUCAGAAAGGCAGCCAUCAAGCUCUGAGAUUCUUUCCUCCACUUGGUCUAUUCUGCUACUAAUACUUCAGCUCAGCCCAGUUCAGAACUCCUGUUGGAGAAAUGAUUCAGCUGUUUGCAGGAAAAAAGGUCCUCUGACUUUCACCCCAAGAUGAGACCAUCUAGUUGCAGGAAAGCAAGCUCAGGGAUCCCACAGAUUCUGCACUAUGGAGUGGACCAGCCUUUCAACCCCCACCAUCAUCAGUCAUUGCCUCAGAGCAGUCCACAGGAAACAUAACCUUGACCCAAAUAAGGAUUGUGAAGGAAGAGAGAAAUGUGGAAGAGAAGAGGAAGCGGAAGAAAAGAAAAGGAAUCAAGAUCUUACAUGACCUGAAAAGCCUAAAAUAUUUAUCUUUAUACAAAUCUUUCCCUUUGUAGAAAAAUUUUGACAAUCCCUGCUCUAGAGAGAGGAAGAAAACUCCAAGGACCUACAAGGUUUCUGAAGGUAAACUACUGAGGAACAAAACCACUAAUAAAAUUCCUGCAAGAAUAAUGUAUUUUUUGAGUUUAUCACAUGGAGUUUUUUUUUUAACCAAAGGAUAAUUGAGCCCACAAAUAAAGACAAAAUAUCCACUAAAAAUAAAUCAUGUAGAAACCAUUUUGAAAAUUAUGAAAAGAGUAUUUAACUAGCCUAAAUGUAGGUAGAACUAUAUGUCUGAUAAAAAAUAAAAAGCACAUACUUAAAGCACACAACUUGCUAAGUUGUUGAAAUUCUCAACACAAUCAAGAUU
Molecule: long non-coding RNA, 783 nt
Filed under: Pan troglodytes (chimpanzee)
Lineage: Eukaryota; Metazoa; Chordata; Mammalia; Primates; Hominidae
Description: lincRNA
Source: RNAcentral